CGGACGGUGCUAAAAAGAUAGUUAUUCCUAGAACUGACAGUUCUUCGUCAUAACUCCUAUUUUAGCUUUGUCCG
This 74-nucleotide non-coding RNA is filed under the name unclassified sequences. The record is from RNAcentral.